CCCGCCUGCGGUCCACAUCUACGCAUGCGCGCUAAAGGUGUGGACGCUUGCUGGGGCGCGGGGAGGAGUGUCGGAUCUGCGGGCUUCACUCUAAAGCCGGACCAAGAAAAGAAAGGGUUUGGGCCAAGAGAGGGAGAGAGAGGGCGAGGCAGCGGGCGCGCUCCUUGUGGCCGGCAGAUAGGGCGCCGGCAUUACGGACACGCCCCGCGGGGGUGGCGCUGCCUGGUGACUGCGCAAGCGCGGCAUGCUGGAGUAGACCCUCAAGCCCCCUUUUUCCCUCCCAGGGACGCCCUCUUCGAUUCAAUGAAGAUUCCGGGCGGUGUGUGUAGAGCGGGUCUUGACGCAGCGACAGGCUUAGGUCGAACCACCGAUGCCCAGAACUGAAGGAUAAUGAAACCAACUCCAACCGGCGGUUGCCUCCUCUUGCAUUUUCUCUUCGUAUCCCCUCCACUCUUCCCAUUAGUCUUACUCAUACCUCCCCCUUUCCUCUUCUUUCUUUCUGCUCUACCGUUGUCAGUGGGCUUCGUCCCUCCAAAGCUCUCCUAGGAUGACGGAGUUGUUGAACAAGAGAAAACCGUGAGACGUCUGAAAACAAACGGAUUGAGAGAGAAAAAAGACACAGCUCGCCAGCUCAUAGUUCCAGUCUUCAGCUUCAACUCUUAGGACCUGCCUUAUAAGAAAUCUCUGCCUCAAAGAAAAUAUAUGAAGAAAUCACCUGACUCUACGAUAGAGUUUAUUUCUAUGAAUAAAAAAAAACUAUUGAGGCUAACAGAGAAAUUAGAUAUAGUGGAAUGGACACUGAGCUUGGAGGCAGAUAAUAUAGACUCACAAACCUGCUCAGUCACUGUCUAGCUCUGUGACAAUAGAUGAUUCAUUGAACCUCACUAAGCAUAUUUUCUCUUAUGUCAUAAAGACAUAGCACUUCUUGAGAUUAAUUCAAACAUUAAACAAGAUCAUGCAAAUUAAUGUGCUUUAUGUAGCAUAAAACACUAUGCAAAUACAGUGAUUACUAUUAUUAUUAAGAGUGAUGAAUUGCAUCACAAGGAACAAAAAAGCAGAAAAAUUACAGGGGAGAAUACUUAUAAAUGAUCAAAGCCACAAGCCGUCCUGGAAGAAAAUCGUCCCAAAGAAAGUUAAGCUAAGAACAGGAAUAGGUCAGAAGAUGGAGAAAUUAAAGAUUAAAACUGGGAGAACUGGAACUGACUUGAGCUGCGAAGAUUCGAUGUAUCAUCAAAAGGAGUAAUGAGACCAAAAGAAAGAAAUUCAAUAGCUAAAGACAGCAGAACCUCUCACAACACACUAACAACUUUGUAUUAUCAGCUCUAUCAGAUGAAUCCUGAUUCGCCUGUGUCGGAGCAAUUGGUGCAGAACAGUGAUUAAAAACAUAGGCCUUGAGUUGGCUAAACCUAGGGUUACAUAUCUGUCACUUGUUAAACAAAGAGACCUUGAGUAAGUUACGUAACCUCUCUCUACACCUGUCUCCUAUUCGGUAAAGUGAAAACAAUAGAAAUUACCAUAGGAUUGGGUGAGGACUAAAUGAUAUGUGGUCUUUGGCCACUAAUUAAUGUUCAGAAAUGCUAUCACUGCCACAAGAACUGAGGAAACUUUCUAUUUGAGGAUUGGGAGAGUACUGCCAAAGUGAGGAAAGAGGGAUGCUCAAGGAGAAACUUGGAACUCAAAUAGAACAGAAAUUAAUUCAGCUUUAGCUAUCUCUCUAGAACACUGUAUCCUAGAGAAAGACCCAUCAGACUUAAGAAGACAAUGAUGAGGAAGGUACUUUAACCCUGUGUGAAGCCAAGACAUGUGAAGCUACAUUUAUGACAUAAAUUCAUAGUCAUGGCAUGAUUUAAUGGAGUCACAGUUGAAUUCCUGUUCUAUCUUGAAUCCCUGUUCUAUUAUUUUAAUUGAUCAUCUUAGACAAUUACUAAUGAUUCAAACUUCAGUUGCCUCAUCUGAAAAGUGAGGUUAUCAGUAGCUACCAAAGCAAGCUAUUGUGAAAAUAAGAAUAUUUCAUGCAAAGAACCUGGCAGUGGGACUAACAGUUUCUGAAACAUUGAUUCUCUUCCCCCUAUAAGAUGUAAAUCAUCUAAGGAACUACUGUUUUAACUCUUAUAAUAUCUAGCCUAAUGUCUUGCAUGUAAUGGAGGCUCAAU
Artibeus jamaicensis (Jamaican fruit-eating bat) is the source of this 2153-nucleotide long non-coding RNA. RefSeq lists it as uncharacterized. The record is from RefSeq and is a predicted model, not a curated record. NCBI's taxonomy places the organism in Eukaryota, Metazoa, Chordata, Mammalia, Chiroptera, Phyllostomidae. The transcript is spliced from 4 exons.